GAUGAAAAAUGCAGAACGUUUUUCUAAAUGUGUAUGUUACGUUCAUUUGUGUUCAUUUAUGUUCAUAAACAUUUCUUUGUGUUCGUUUGCGUUCGUCUAAGUUCGGUAAGUGUCCAUGAACAUGUUCAUUUCCUUAAUGAACGAACAUGAACAAGAAAUCUCGUCCGUGAACCGUUCAUGAACAUGUUCAUUCCUUAAUGAUGUUCGUGUUCGUUUACAGCCCUUCAUAAAACUGGAGAUAAAGGAUGUUAAUAAUCUAAUAUUUUAUAGAAUAGGGAAGAAAUUCUUACUGUUAAAAGAUGAUUCGUCUGUAACAUCGUACACCAACAAAAUUCCCAUAGCUCCCCUAUAAUAAGCUGGAGUUUUUGGAGGGAAAAAAGAUUAUUAUACAAUUAUUUCAUGCAGGAUUUGAGCUACUGUUGAGUAAGGACCACUGAUCAUUUAAUCCAUGUUAAGUAAUUAUUGACAUUUUAAUAAAAUGGGGAAUUGGAUGCACAUCUCAUGAGCAAAUCACUACUUUUGUUCUUAAAUCUAGGGGGCUAAACCUGAGAGGUAGAUAUGUAGCUUAAUUUAAUAAAUAGAAAUUGCUACGAAUACCUCAUUUUUCUAAAAUUAUAUAUAGAUAUAUUGGUUAACCAAACCCAAUUAAAAACUGUUAAAAAAAUCAUUAUUAUGUUCAAAAUUAUAUAGAUAUGGCUCUCUUUUAUGUUCAACAAAAAAAAAAAAUUGUCAUUGAUGAUGUCAUCAUUUUGACUAUUUUUUUAAAUACCACUAUUAUGAGGUAUUUAACAAAAGAAAAAAAAUCACUAAUAAUUAACAUUAUUAAUUUAAAUAUACACUCAUUAUAUUAUGAAGUGUUUAGCAAAAAAGCUUACUUAUUAACUUAAUAUUAAUCAAAAUUAAAAUAUUUACACCUUAUAUUAGGAGGUAUUUAACAAAAAAAAUACUAAUUAAGUAACAUCCAAGAGUUAAUUAAAUAUAAUAAUAUUUGCAUAUAAUGAAUGUGUAUAACAAAGGUAUUUUUUUUCUUUUAACAAACUACAUGAUACAUUAUUUGAAAGUUCUCAUCAAUACCUUCAAAAUGAACCCACUAGUGACAUUAUUAAUUUUAUUUUUUUAUGAUUUUAUUAAAGAAGGAAAAUAGCACAACUGUUAAAAAAGCAACAUAUAUUUUCUUAGUAAACGAAUGAACGAUGAGGGGGGAGAAAGGUUCCGGUGUUCACG
Molecule: long non-coding RNA, 1224 nt
Filed under: Helianthus annuus (common sunflower)
Lineage: Eukaryota; Viridiplantae; Streptophyta; Magnoliopsida; Asterales; Asteraceae
Description: hypothetical non coding rna
Source: RNAcentral